This 64-nucleotide transfer RNA is filed under the name Bacteroidota bacterium. Its description in RNAcentral is "Bacteroidetes bacterium (groundwater metagenome) tRNA-OTHER". It matches the Rfam family "tRNA". From Rfam's summary of the family: Transfer RNA (tRNA) molecules are approximately 80 nucleotides in length. Their secondary structure includes four short double-helical elements and three loops (D, anti-codon, and T loops). Further hydrogen bonds mediate the characteristic L-shaped molecular structure. tRNAs have two regions of fundamental functional importance: the anti-codon, which is responsible for specific mRNA codon recognition, and the 3' end, to which the tRNAs corresponding amino acid is attached (by aminoacyl-tRNA synthetases). tRNAs cope with the degeneracy of the genetic code in two manners: having more than one tRNA (with a specific anti-codon) for a particular amino acid; and 'wobble' base-pairing, i.e. permitting non-standard base-pairing at the 3rd anti-codon position. The record is from RNAcentral. Lineage: Bacteria; Pseudomonadati; Bacteroidota.
GCGCCCGUAGCUCAGCUGGAUAGAGCGACAGCCUNNGUCGGGCGUUCGAAUCGCCCCGGGCGCA